Molecule: ribosomal RNA, 265 nt
Filed under: uncultured archaeon
Lineage: Archaea
Description: partial 16S ribosomal RNA
Rfam family: Archaeal small subunit ribosomal RNA
Source: RNAcentral
AGUCACUGACAUUAGAUACCCCCGUAGUCCAGGGUGUAAACGCUGCAGACUUGGUGUUGGGAACCCUUCGGGGGUGCUCAGUGCCGGAGAGAAGUUGUUAAGUCUGCUACUUGGGGAGUACGUCCGCAAGGAUGAAACUUAAAGGAAUUGGCGGGGGAGCACCGCGACGGGAGGAGCGUGUGGUUUAAUUGGAUUCAACGCCGAAAAACUCACCAGCAGCGACUGUUACAUGAAAGUCAGGUUGAUGACCUUACUAGAUUUUCAG